GGAGACAGGUGCUGCAUGGCUGUCGUCAGCUCGUGUCGUGAGAUGUUGGGUUAAGUCCCGCAACGAGCGCAACCCUCGCCCUUAGUUGCCAGCAUUUGGUUGGGCACUCUAAGGGGACUGCCGGUGAUAAGCCGAGAGGAAGGUGGGGAUGACGUCAAGUCCUCAUGGCCCUUACGGGCUGGGCUACACACGUGCUACAAUGGUGGUGACAGUGGGCAGCGAGACCGCGAGGUCGAGCUAAUCUCCAAAAGCCAUCUCAGUUCGGAUUGCACUCUGCAACUCGAGUGCAUGAAGUUGGAAUCGCUAGUAAUCGUGGAUCAGCAUGCCACGGUGAAUACGUUCCCGGGCCUUGUACACACCGCCCGUCACACCAUGGGAGUUGGUUUUACCCGAAGG
Molecule: ribosomal RNA, 396 nt
Filed under: uncultured Bartonella sp.
Lineage: Bacteria; Pseudomonadati; Pseudomonadota; Alphaproteobacteria; Hyphomicrobiales; Bartonellaceae
Description: bacterial SSU rRNA
Rfam family: Bacterial small subunit ribosomal RNA
Source: RNAcentral